AAUUCGCCCUUAGAGUUUGAUCCUGGCUCAGGAUGAACGCUGGCGGCGUGCCUAAUACAUGCAAGUCGAGCGAGGUUCUUCGGAACCUAGCGGCGGACGGGUGAGUAACACGUGGGUAACCUGCCUGUAAGACCGGGAUAACUUCGGGAAACCGAAGCUAAUACCGGAUACUUUCGAGCAUCGCAUGAUGCUUGAUGGAAAGACGGCUUCGGCUGUCACUUACAGAUGGACCCGCGUCGCAUUAGCUAGUUGGUGAGGUAACAGCUCACCAAGGCGACGAUGCGUAGCCGACCUGAGAGGGUGAUCGGCCACACUGGGACUGAGACACGGCCCAGACUCCUACGGGAGGCAGCAGUAGGGAAUCUUCGGCAAUGGGCGAAAGCCUGACCGAGCAACGCCGCGUGAGCGAUGAAGGCCUUCGGGUCGUAAAGCUCUGUUGUUAAGGAAGAACAAGUACGAGAGUAACUGCUCGUACCUUGACGGUACUUAACGAGAAAGCCACGGCUAACUACGUGCCAGCAGCCGCGGUAAUACGUAGGUGGCGAGCGUUAUCCGGAAUUAUUGGGCGUAAAGCGCGCGCAGGCGGUUUUUUAAGUCUGAUGUGAAAGCCCACGGCUCAACCGUGGAGGGUCAUUGGAAACUGGGAAACUUGAGUGCAGAAGAGGAAAGCGGAAUUCCACGUGUAGCGGUGAAAUGC
Molecule: ribosomal RNA, 697 nt
Filed under: uncultured bacterium
Lineage: Bacteria
Description: bacterial SSU rRNA
Rfam family: Bacterial small subunit ribosomal RNA
Source: RNAcentral